This 465-nucleotide ribosomal RNA is filed under the name uncultured bacterium. RNAcentral describes it as "partial 16S ribosomal RNA". It matches the Rfam family "Bacterial small subunit ribosomal RNA", at positions 28 to 507 of the family's 1533-position model. The record is from RNAcentral.
GACGAACGCUGGCGGCGUGCUUAACACAUGCAAGUCGAACGGAAAGGCCCCUUUGGGGGUACUCGAGUGGCGAACGGGUGAGUAACACGUGCGUAACCUGCCCUUGACUUCGGGAUAACUUCAGGAAACUGGGGCUAAUACCGGAUAGGAAUCCUUGCUGCAUGGUGGGGGUUGGAAAGCUUCGGCGGUUUUGGAUGGACUCGCGGCUUAUCAGCUUGUUGGUGGGGUAGUGGCUUACCAAGGCGUUGACGGGUAGCCGGCCUGAGGGGGCGACCGGCCACACUGGGACUGAGAGACGGCACAGGCGCCGACGGGUGGCAGCAGGGGGGAAGAUUGCACCAGGGGCGGAGGCCGGAUGCAGAAGCGCCGCGGGCGGGAUGACGGCCUUCGGGUUGAAAACCGCUUUCAGCAGGGGCGAAGCUUGUGGUGACGGUACCUGCAGAAGAAGCACCGGCUAACUACGUG